Carcharodon carcharias (great white shark) is the source of this 1949-nucleotide long non-coding RNA. RefSeq lists it as uncharacterized. The transcript has 2 exons. The record is from RefSeq and is a predicted model, not a curated record. NCBI's taxonomy places the organism in Eukaryota, Metazoa, Chordata, Chondrichthyes, Lamniformes, Lamnidae.
AGCCUGGCGGAUGGGAUUUCUCACUGUUUGAGCUCUUCUCCUCAUCGAAUGAAUUGUAGAAUUGUAGUAAAGGGAUACUUCGCCAAAUUGAUCAACUGCUCCCUGAAUGGUGUUUGUGUCACGGUGUAAAUCGCAGUGUUAGUGCAGCAGUUCAAGAGCUGCAACAUGAAGCCCAAUUCCAGAACAAACCAGUGCAAAUGAAGAGACUUAAAUCCCAAGUUCCGCAUUCGGAUACCUAUGGAAAACACCAUUAACGUUGACCACAACAAGAUGAAAUUGGCUGAGAUCACAAAAAGCAAAAUGAUGGAUUUCCUUCGAGUUUCCAUUUCUCGGUCUCUGGCACUCUCCCCACUACUGUGAGCUCGGAGUCUCCUGCGGGCUCUGCUGCUUACUAAAAUGUGCCUGACAGUGAGAACAUUGAGCAGCAGAAUCAGGACAAAUGGAACACAUGGAUUUAGAAUGUGGUGGAGGAACUCGAGUGUUCCCCAUAACGGAGAGGCCCGAACAUCGACUGUCAUAUAACAAAACCAGGGAAAGUUCGCCAGAUAAUACUGACCUGUGUACAUAAAAUACCAGAAAAUAUUUUUUAAACAGCUCAGACCAGCCACUGAUGUUAGGACCACAACCGCCAUUUUCUUUCUGCAAUAUUUACUUUUCAGCUUUGGGCUGGAAAUGGCCACAAAUCGGUCAAAGGUGAAAGUGACGGUGAACCAGACAGAACAGUCAGUGGCUGCAUAAAGCAAGACGGCAUGGAUAUUACACAUGGGGGUGGAAUACAGGAAAAUGAAAUGCUCCUUAAAAAUAAUUGGCAUGUGUCUCAAUAUCAGGUCCAGGAUAACGACCAGAAGAUCCGCCACUGCCAUAGCCACCAGAUCGGUGGAGAGGGGUUACUGAACAGAGAGAUAGGAGUCAACUGAUGAAGAUUUAAGAAAAAAAAAAUUCUUACGCAAGAAAAUAUGAACUAUAUUACAAUAACCCUUCACCCACAAAUAUAUUUUCACAGAGAAAAACAACUGCGUAUGGAUAAUGCAGCAUAAGUGACAAAAGCUAAUACUCACACUAAUUGCAGUGAUCAUGGUAGGAAAAAAACAAACUGAAACAUGUGACAGAUGCGACUCCAAAGAGAUGCUAUGUACCUGUCAUCAACUCCAAACAGCUGUUUAUCCAAUGGUAAGCUAACAGGUCUUACUGAUCUCCGCCUUUUAAAGGAGGAUAUCUAAUCUCCACUCUUCGGUAACUCUAUUUCGAAUCAUCUACCAAAAUAAUGCUUUAUCCCAGUUGACACUCGGAAGGGUUUAAAAGUCUCAAUUUGAUUUUCCUGUCACCUUGGUCACCUCAUCUAUUCAAGCUGUCUUCCAUGCACUCUCCCGCACCAAACCAGAGGCGAAGAAUACCACUGCUCGACAUGUCCGGAGCGAUGAUUGACAUCCUUUUUUGGCUGUCUUUUUUGGAAAUUCUAUCUUCUCAACAAGCCUUUGUAUCAUGUUAAAUCUGUGUCCUGCAGCUAUUGUGCAUUUCAUUUCGAGGCUUAGUUUCACUUAGUACACCUUUUCCAGGUUCCUGAUCUUCCUUUGAUUGCAGGGUCUAUUGGGACAUUCCCAUGAUCACAUGUCAGCUAUUGUAACUUGGGAAAUUUUGGUUGUUUUGGAAAAUUUACUCUCUCAGUAGUUCACUCUCCGCUGGCUGCAGUGCCUUUUGGUAGAUGUCUUCAAACUGAUCUCAAAAUGCUGCGUUCUCUCUCUCUCUCUCUGUGCGUGUCCAUGUUAGUUUGUGGCUGGCCCUCUCCGAACCCCUCUUUCCAGGCAACUAAACAUGAUAUUUUUUUUCGUGCUCUUAUUGUUUGAACGUAUUUUUGAGUCUUAACACUCAUGGGAACUGCUGCCACGAUUUAAAGUGAAAGCAAACCUAACGUCGUUACUUCGUUAAGAAUCACAUAAAGACAUGGAAAU